This is a small RNA of Streptomyces albireticuli, 48 nucleotides long. It matches the Rfam family "raiA-hairpin RNA". NCBI's taxonomy places the organism in Bacteria, Bacillati, Actinomycetota, Actinomycetes, Kitasatosporales, Streptomycetaceae. The record is from Rfam.
CGCCAAGUCGGUGGCUCCGGGUAUCCCCGGAGCUUGAUGCAAGAGGGA